Molecule: ribosomal RNA, 797 nt
Filed under: Levantiniella levantinensis
Lineage: Eukaryota; Metazoa; Porifera; Demospongiae; Tetractinellida; Tetillidae
Description: partial 28S ribosomal RNA
Rfam family: Eukaryotic large subunit ribosomal RNA (bases 1-307)
Source: RNAcentral
AGAGCAACUAACCAGGAUUCCCCCAGUAACGGCGAGCGAAGCGGGAGCAGCUCGAGCAGUCAAUCUCUGGCGUGGAUCGCCAGCGAAUUGUGGCCGGGAGAGGCGGGUGCACCCGACGCGCCUCCGUCGAAGUUGACCUGGAAAGGCACGUCGGAGAGGGUGAUAGCCCCGUGCGGGGCGGAGGCGCCGAGGGCCGCUACCGUCUUCCGAGAGUCGGGUUGUUUGAGAUUGCAGCCCAAAGCGGGUGGUAAACUCCAUCUAAAGCCAAACAGCGGCACGAGACCGAUAGCGAACAAGUACCAUGAGGGAAAGGUGAAAAGCACUUUGGAAAGAGAGUUAAAGAGACCGCGAAACCGUUAGGAGGGAAACGCAUGCAGCCGGACUGGCCCUCGUCGGGUUCAGGGGGCGGCGGCAGCCUCCGCGGUGGCUGGUGGCACCCCUCCGGGGCCGCAGCUGCCGCGAGGUCUCCGCGCCCCUGCACUCCCGACGGUUCGGGUCGGCCAAGGGCGGUGGUGUCCUGGGCGAGGAGGGCGGUCGGGUAGGUGGUGCAGCCGACUCUCGGGUCGGAGGCGAACUUAUAGCCGGCCGUUCGGCACGUCCCGGGUCCGCCGAGGAGAGCGGUGGCUCGUUCCACCCCUGCAGCGCAGGCCCCGUUCGUCGGGGCCGGGGCGCUCCUGUCCGUUCGGCCUCCGUGCCGAGAGACUGUUCGCAGUGUCCGGCGUCGUGCGCGGGUCCGGGCGGGAGGUCGUCUCACGCCUUGCGCUGCGGUCGCUUGGCCAGCCGUCGGCUUCAUUCGA